Molecule: long non-coding RNA, 770 nt
Organism: Lathyrus oleraceus (garden pea)
Lineage: Eukaryota; Viridiplantae; Streptophyta; Magnoliopsida; Fabales; Fabaceae
Exons: 2
Source: RefSeq, a predicted model, not a curated record
CACUCAAUAAUACUGUUAUUCUUCCCUUUCAAAAAAGUUUUCUAUCAUCUUCCAAAUACUUAAACACUUUCUCUUACUAUCCAAAACUUGAUUCCAAUAAAUAGUGUGUUAUGGUUAUUCUGUUUUGAGUAGUUAUAUAUUAUAUAAACAUAAAUUAAACAGGAAUGUGAAAUACCUUUUCUGCUUCAUUCUAAGUUGAAGAUGAGGUUUAUUCAUUUAAUGAGAAUUUAUAGUAUGCAACAUGAUUGAUCACUUGUUAGAGAUAUUUUUUCCGUUUCUCGACCGUGAUUUCCUUGAGUACACUUACUUUGAGAAAAAUGGACCAGGCUCUUUGUUGAUGUUGAUGUUGGUUGUGGUUCAUAAUUAAGAUAGAUACCUAAACCCGACAAAAUUCAUGCAACAUUCUGACCUAACUUCCCAUCCAAAGCAACAGGGUAAGACUUCCGACGAUGAUCAAGCAGAAAAAUCUCAAGAAGGUAAAAUGGGCGUGUUAAGAGAUAAUAAUAAUUGGAAGAGAAAGAAGAUAGUGUAGAUGAGUUGAGAAAUUCCAUGCCCUUUUCAUCUUUGCAUCCGUGAUCCGUCCAUGAUGUAGUUUGCAAUUUUGUAUUUCCUUUGUUGGAUUCUUGCAAUCAUGCCUUAUAUGAUCCUAUUCAAGAGGCUGAAUGUUACAUUAAAUUUGAUAAAGUUUGUAUAUUCAUUUGAUUUGAUCCUAGUUAAAUCUAAUUUCUAGUCAAAGAAUGUAAUAAAAUGUGUGAGGCGGUGUCACAAUA